AGGGACGUAGUAUAAUGGUAGUACAGAGGUCUCCAAAACCUUUAGCGUGGGUUCGAUUCCCCCCGUCCCUGCCA
This 74-nucleotide transfer RNA is filed under the name Patescibacteria group bacterium. RNAcentral describes it as "tRNA-Trp". It matches the Rfam family "tRNA". Rfam says of the family: Transfer RNA (tRNA) molecules are approximately 80 nucleotides in length. Their secondary structure includes four short double-helical elements and three loops (D, anti-codon, and T loops). Further hydrogen bonds mediate the characteristic L-shaped molecular structure. tRNAs have two regions of fundamental functional importance: the anti-codon, which is responsible for specific mRNA codon recognition, and the 3' end, to which the tRNAs corresponding amino acid is attached (by aminoacyl-tRNA synthetases). tRNAs cope with the degeneracy of the genetic code in two manners: having more than one tRNA (with a specific anti-codon) for a particular amino acid; and 'wobble' base-pairing, i.e. permitting non-standard base-pairing at the 3rd anti-codon position. The record is from RNAcentral.